UACGGGGGGAGCAAGCGUUGUUCGGAUUUACUGGGCGUAAAGGGCGCGUAGGCGGCCACCGCAAGUCGACUGUGAAAUCUCCGGGCUUAACUCGGAAAGGUCAGCCGAUACUGCGGGGCUAGAGUGCAGAAGGGGCAACUGGAAUUCUCGGUGUAGCGGUGAAAUGCGUAGAUAUCGAGAGGAACACCUGCGGCGAAGGCGGGUUGCUGGGCUGACACUGACGCUGAAGUGCGAAAGCGAGGGGAGCGAACGGG
RNAcentral lists this ribosomal RNA (254 nucleotides) under uncultured bacterium. RNAcentral describes it as "partial 16S ribosomal RNA". It matches the Rfam family "Bacterial small subunit ribosomal RNA", at positions 524 to 776 of the family's 1533-position model. The record is from RNAcentral.